UCCCUGGUGGUCCAGUGGUUAGGACUCUACCCUUCCAAUGCAAGGGAUAUGGGUUCAAUCCCUGAUCAUGGAA
Molecule: transfer RNA, 73 nt
Filed under: Bos taurus (domestic cattle)
Lineage: Eukaryota; Metazoa; Chordata; Mammalia; Artiodactyla; Bovidae
Also listed under: 5 other names
Rfam family: tRNA
About the family: Transfer RNA (tRNA) molecules are approximately 80 nucleotides in length. Their secondary structure includes four short double-helical elements and three loops (D, anti-codon, and T loops). Further hydrogen bonds mediate the characteristic L-shaped molecular structure. tRNAs have two regions of fundamental functional importance: the anti-codon, which is responsible for specific mRNA codon recognition, and the 3' end, to which the tRNAs corresponding amino acid is attached (by aminoacyl-tRNA synthetases). tRNAs cope with the degeneracy of the genetic code in two manners: having more than one tRNA (with a specific anti-codon) for a particular amino acid; and 'wobble' base-pairing, i.e. permitting non-standard base-pairing at the 3rd anti-codon position.
Source: Rfam by way of RNAcentral